GGGAAAGUACGAGGGUAUCUGGUUAAUGGAUGGAAAAUGGCAAUUAAUAGUCACUGGGGAAGCAGGGAUUGGGCUGAAGAGGAGGGACAAAGGAGGGACAAAGGACAGACCAUGACAGCGCUCUUGUCACACUCAAAUUUAGUGGCAGAUUGCCAGCUGUGAAACCCAUCAAAUGGUGUGCAGACUCCAGCUUUUGGUGAACACUGGCGUGGUGAUGGUGUGGACCCAGUGAGUGAAGAAUGCAUAAAAGUGCAAGCAACAAGUUGGCCUCAAACUUGGCACGCCCAUGUACAUAUGUCACAUGCCUGCAGCUGCUUCAUAUAUAAUCCAGUGGUGCUUCUCAGAAUGAAGGAAGGAUGCUAAAAACGGCUGAAUUUGAAGGAGGCUAUGUCGUCACUCCAGUGAAGGUCUGUUUCAAUGUCAAGAGGCCUUCAAAUUCUACUGAGGACCAAACCCUUCCUUCAGAAAAUUUUCAAGAAUGCACGUGUGUGUGUCCUUGGUGGGCUUGAAGUACCUACAAUUCUUUGCACACAAUUUGCUGGAAUUGAAUUCUGUGACUUGUCUUUUUAAGUUUUGUUUGUGAUUCAUCCUGGCUUCAUAUGAGCAGAGGAAAUCUAAGGCAGUCACUAGGCUAAUUUAUACAAUGUA
Epinephelus lanceolatus (giant grouper) is the source of this 648-nucleotide long non-coding RNA. RefSeq lists it as uncharacterized. NCBI's taxonomy places the organism in Eukaryota, Metazoa, Chordata, Actinopteri, Perciformes, Serranidae. The record is from RefSeq and is a predicted model, not a curated record.